This 488-nucleotide ribosomal RNA is filed under the name uncultured bacterium. RNAcentral describes it as "bacterial SSU rRNA". It matches the Rfam family "Bacterial small subunit ribosomal RNA", at positions 28 to 511 of the family's 1533-position model. The record is from RNAcentral.
GAUGAACGCUAGCGGCAGGCUUAACACAUGCAAGUCGAACGGCAGCACAGGUAGCAAUACUGGGUGGCGAGUGGCGCACGGGUGCGUAACGCGUAUGCAACCUACCUCUAUCUGGGAGAUAGCCCGAAGAAAUUCGGAUUAAUACCCCAUAAUAUAUGUCUUUCGCAUGUUAGACAUAUUAAAGCUUUGGCGGAUAGAGAUGGGCAUGCGUGACAUUAGCUAGUUGGUAAGGUAACGGCUUACCAAGGCUACGAUGUCUAGGGGGUCUGAGAGGAUUAUCCCCCACACUGGUACUGAGACACGGACCAGACUCCUACGGGAGGCAGCAGUGAGGAAUAUUGGACAAUGGGCGAAAGCCUGAUCCAGCCAUGCCGCGUGCAGGAAGACGGCCCUAUGGGUUGUAAACUGCUUUUAUAUGGGAAUAAACCUCCGAACGUGUUCGGAGCUGAAGGUACCAUACGAAUAAGGAUCGGCUAACUCCGUGCCAG